UACGGAGGGUGCAAGCGUUAUCCGGAUUUAUUGGGUUUAAAGGGUCCGUAGGCGGACUUAUAAGUCAGUGGUGAAAGCCUGUCGCUUAACGAUAGAACUGCCAUUGAUACUGUAAGUCUUGAGUAUAUUUGAGGUAGCUGGAAUAAGUAGUGUAGCGGUGAAAUGCAUAGAUAUUACUUAGAACACCAAUUGCGAAGGCAGGUUACCAAGAUAUAACUGACGCUGAGGGACGAAAGCGUGGGCAGCGAACAGG
This 253-nucleotide ribosomal RNA is filed under the name uncultured bacterium. RNAcentral's name for it is "partial 16S ribosomal RNA". It matches the Rfam family "Bacterial small subunit ribosomal RNA", at positions 524 to 776 of the family's 1533-position model. The record is from RNAcentral.